This 987-nucleotide ribosomal RNA is filed under the name Staphylococcus pseudintermedius. Its description in RNAcentral is "partial 23S ribosomal RNA". It matches the Rfam family "Bacterial large subunit ribosomal RNA", at positions 1565 to 2553 of the family's 2925-position model. The record is from RNAcentral. Lineage: Bacteria; Bacillati; Bacillota; Bacilli; Caryophanales; Staphylococcaceae.
AUGGGGAGAGGAACUUGUUCCUCGAGUCGUUGAUUUCACACUGCCGAGAAAAGCCUCUAGCUAGAAUAACGGUGCCCGUACCGCAAACCGACACAGGUAGUCAAGAUGAGAAUUCUAAGGUGAGCGAGCGAACUCUCGUUAAGGAACUCGGCAAAAUGACCCCGUAACUUCGGGAGAAGGGGUGCUCUUUGAGGUUCACGCUUCGAAGAGCCGCAGUGAAUAGGCCCAAGCGACUGUUUAUCAAAAACACAGGUCUCUGCUAAACCGUAAGGUGACGUAUAGGGGCUGACGCCUGCCCGGUGCUGGAAGGUUAAGAGGAGUGGUUAGCGCAAGCGAAGCUACGAAUCGAAGCCCCAGUAAACGGCGGCCGUAACUAUAACGGUCCUAAGGUAGCGAAAUUCCUUGUCGGGUAAGUUCCGACCCGCACGAAAGGCGUAACGAUUUGGGCACUGUCUCAACGAGAGACUCGGUGAAAUCAUAGUACCGGUGAAGAUGCCGGUUACCCGCGACAGGACGGAAAGACCCCGUGGAGCUUUACUGUAGCCUGAUAUUGAAAUUCGGUACAGUUUGUACAGGAUAGGUAGGAGCCUUAGAAGCGUGAGCGCUAGCUUACGUGGAGGCAUUGGUGGGAUACUACCCUAAUUGUAUUGGAUUUCUAACCCGCAGCACUUAUCGUGCUGGGAGACAGUGUCAGGCGGGCAGUUUGACUGGGGCGGUCGCCUCCUAAAGAGUAACGGAGGCGCUCAAAGGUUCCCUCAGAAUGGUUGGAAAUCAUUCAUAGAGUGUAAAGGCAUAAGGGAGCUUGACUGCGAGACCUACAAGUCGAGCAGGGUCGAAAGACGGACUUAGUGAUCCGGUGGUUCCGCAUGGAAGGGCCAUCGCUCAACGGAUAAAAGCUACCCCGGGGAUAACAGGCUUAUCUCCCCCAAGAGUUCACAUCGACGGGGAGGUUUGGCACCUCGAUGUCGGCUCAUCGCAUCCUGGGGC